UGGGGAAUAUUGGACAAUGGGCGAAAGCCUGAUCCAGCAAUGCCGCGUGUGUGAAGAAGGUCUUCGGAUUGUAAAGCACUUUCGGCGGGGACGAUGAUGACGGUACCCGCAGAAGAAGCCCCGGCUAACUUCGUGCCAGCAGCCGCGGUAAUACGAAGGGGGCUAGCGUUGCUCGGAAUGACUGGGCGUAAAGGGCGCGUAGGCGGUUCUGCAAGUUAGAUGUGAAAUUCCUGGGCUCAACCUGGGGACUGCAUUUGAUACGUGAUGGCUAGAGUGGAGAAGAGGGUCGUGGAAUUUCCAGUGUAGAGGUGAAAUUCGUAGAUAUUGGAAAGAACACCGGUGGCGAAGGCGGCGACCUGGUCUUUAACUGACGCUGAGGCGCGAAAGCGUGGGGAGCAAAC
RNAcentral lists this ribosomal RNA (401 nucleotides) under uncultured bacterium. Its description in RNAcentral is "bacterial SSU rRNA". It matches the Rfam family "Bacterial small subunit ribosomal RNA", at positions 355 to 773 of the family's 1533-position model. The record is from RNAcentral.